CCCUUAGACGUUCUGGGCCGCACGCGCGCUACACUGACCAGUGCAACAAGCAUCCGUCCUUGGCCGACAGGCUCGGGCAAUCUUUGAACGCUGGUCGUGAUGGGGAUAGACUUUUGCAAUUUUUGGUCUUCAACGAGGAAUUCCUAGUAAACGCAAGUCAUCAACUUGCAUUGAUUACGUCCCUGCCCUUUGUACACACCGCCCGUCGCACCUACCGAUUGAAUGGGCCGGUGAAGCCUCCGGAUUGGCGCGCACCUCGGUGCCGCCGAGAAGUUGGCUAAACCUUACCAUUUAGAGGAAGGUGAAGUCGUAACA
RNAcentral lists this ribosomal RNA (315 nucleotides) under uncultured eukaryote. Its description in RNAcentral is "partial 18S ribosomal RNA". It matches the Rfam family "Eukaryotic small subunit ribosomal RNA", at positions 1470 to 1796 of the family's 1831-position model. The record is from RNAcentral.